GAUGAACGCUGGCGGCGUGCCUAAAACAUGCAAGUCGUGCGGUAACAGGGAGAAGCUUGCUUCUCUGCUGACGAGCGGCGGACGGCUGAGUAACGCGUGGGAAUCUACCCCAAAGUGAGGAAUAACUGCCCGAAAGGGUGGCUAAUGCCGCAUAUGGUCUUCGGAUUAAAGGAUUUAUCCGCUUUGGGAAGAGCCCGCGUAAGAUUAGAUAGUUGGUGAGGUAAUGGCUCACCAAGUCGACGAUCUUUAACUGGUCUGAGAGGAUGAUCAGUCACACUGGAACUGAGACACGGUCCAGACUCCUACGGGAGGCAGCAGUAGGGAAUAUUGCACAAUGGAGGAAACUCUGAUGCAGCGACGCCGCGUGAGUGAUGAAGGCCUUCGGGUCGUAAAGCUCUGUCGCAAGGGAAUAACACAAUGAAUGUACCUUGCAAGAAAGGAUCGGCUAACUUCGUGCCAGCAGCCGCAGUAA
RNAcentral lists this ribosomal RNA (472 nucleotides) under uncultured bacterium. RNAcentral's name for it is "partial 16S ribosomal RNA". It matches the Rfam family "Bacterial small subunit ribosomal RNA", at positions 28 to 523 of the family's 1533-position model. The record is from RNAcentral.